RNAcentral lists this ribosomal RNA (588 nucleotides) under uncultured bacterium. RNAcentral's name for it is "partial 16S ribosomal RNA". It matches the Rfam family "Bacterial small subunit ribosomal RNA", at positions 355 to 1375 of the family's 1533-position model. The record is from RNAcentral.
UGGGGAAUUUUGGACAAUGGGCGAAAGCCUGAUCCAGCAAUGCCGCGUGUGUGAAGAAGGCCUUCGGGUUGUAAAGCACUUUUGUCCGGAAAGAAAUCCUUGGCUCUAAUACAGUCGGGGGAUGACGGUACCGGAAGAAUAAGCACCGGCUAACUACGUGCCAGCAGCCGCGGUAAUACGUAGGGUGCAAGCGUUAAUCGGAAUUACUGGGCGUAAAGCGUGCGCAGGCGGUUUGCUAAGACCGAUGUGAAAUCCCCGGGCUCAACCUGGGAACUGCAUUGGUGACUGGCAGGCUAGAGUAUGGCAGAGGGGGGUAGAAUUCCACGUGUAGCAGUGAAAUGCGUAGAGAUGUGGAGGAAUACCGAUGGCGAAGGCAGCCCCCUGGGCCAAAUACUGACGCUCAUGCACGAAAGCGUGGGGAGCAAACAGGAUUAGAUACCCUGGUAGUCCACGCCCUAAAACGAUGUCAACUAGUUGUUGGGGGAUUCAUUUCCUUAGUAACGUAGCUAACGCGUGAAGUUGACCGCCUGGGGAGUACGGUCGCAAGAUUAAAACUCAAAUGAAUUGACGGGGUCAUAGCUGUUUCCU